GUCAAGGGGGCCCGAGGCGCAGCCUUGGGCGACCGGCGAACGGGUGCGUAACACGUGAGCAACCUACCGAAAUGUGGGGGAUAGCCGGCCCAACGGCCGGGUAAUACCGCAUACGCUCGAGACCAGGCAUUUGGACUCGAGGAAAUUUACGGAGCAUUUCGAGGGGCUCGCGGCCUAUCAGCUAGUUGGUGAGGUAACGGCUCACCAAGGCGACGACGGGUAGCUGGUCUGAGAGGAUGGCCAGCCACAUUGGGACUGAGAUACGGCCCAGACUCCUACGGGAGGCAGCAGUGGGGAAUCUUGCGCAAUGGCCUAACGGCUGACGCAGCGACGCCGCGUGAGGGAUGACGCUCUUCGGAGUGUAAACCUCUUUUGUCUGAGACGAACUGUCAGCUUUAGCUGAUUUGACGGUAUCGGGCGAAUAAGCACCGGCUAACUCCGUGCCAGCAGCCGCGGUAAUACGGGGGGUGCGAGCGUUGUCCGGAAUCACUGGGCGUAAAGGGCGCGUAUGUGGUCUUAUAAGGGUGUGGUGAAAGCCCGGGGCUCAACCCCGGGUCGGCCGUGCCGACUGUGAGACUAGAGUGCUGUAGGGGCAGGUGGAAUUCCGGGUGUAGCGGUGGAAUGUCGUAGAGAUCCGGAGGAAGACCGGUGGCGAAUGCGGCCUGCUGGGCAGAUACUGACACUGAGCGCGACAGCGUGGGGAGCAAACAGGAUUAGAUACCCUGGUAGUCCACGCCGUAACGAUGGGUACUAGUGCCUGGGGGAG
Molecule: ribosomal RNA, 766 nt
Filed under: uncultured bacterium
Lineage: Bacteria
Description: bacterial SSU rRNA
Rfam family: Bacterial small subunit ribosomal RNA
Source: RNAcentral